This 332-nucleotide ribosomal RNA is filed under the name uncultured Glomeraceae. RNAcentral describes it as "partial large subunit ribosomal RNA". Lineage: Eukaryota; Fungi; Glomeromycota; Glomeromycetes; Glomerales; Glomeraceae. The record is from RNAcentral.
CAGUCAUACCAACGGGAAAUCAACCUUUUGAGCUCGGUCUCGUGGGUUUUGAAGAGUUUCAAAGCCUUCGGAUUCGCGGGAUUGGGAUCUCUCGGUGUACUUUUUCGUACGGUUAGUCAACAUCGGUUUUGAAUGCCAUAAAAUGACUGGAGGAAUGUAGCUUCGAUCUCGUAUUGAAGUGUUAUAGCCUCUGGUAGAUGUGAUGUUUGAGACCGAGGAUUGCAACGGAUACCCUUCAGGGCUAUUCGUCUGAUCUCUGAUACGUUGCCCUGAUGUUGAAAGCUUGCUUAUGAUGUUAGGGUAUUACGGUCAAAAGGUUAGAACGGAUUAGA